GGGGUGGAAAGGUAGGUCCUACUCUGUCUGGGGUGGAAAGGUAGGUCCUACUCUGUCUGGGGUGGAAAGGUAGGGGGUGGAAAGGUAGGCCUAUUCUGUCUGGGGUGGAAAGGUAGGUCUACUCUGUCUGGGGUGGAAAGGUAGGUCCUACUCUGUAGGGGGUGGAAAGGUAGGCCUAUUCUGUCUGGGGUGGAAAGGUAGGCCUACAAUGUCUGGGGUGGAAAGGUAGGUCCUACUCUGUCUGGGGUGGAAAGGUAGGCCCUCCUCUGUCUGGGGUGGAAAGGUAGGCCUACAAUGUCUGGGGUGGAAAGGUAGGUCCUACUCUGUCUGGGGUGGAAAGGUAGGCCUACUCUGUCUGGGGUGGAAAGGUAGGCCUACUCUGUCUGGGGUGGAAAGGUAGGCCUACUCUGUCUGGGGUGGAAAGGUAGGCCUCCUCUGUCUGGGGUGGAAAGGUAGGCCUACUCUGUCUGGGGUGGAAAGGUAGGUCCUACUCUGUCUGGGGUGGAAAGGUAGGCCUACUCUGUCUGGGGUGGAAAGGUAGGCCUACC
Oncorhynchus tshawytscha (Chinook salmon) is the source of this 548-nucleotide long non-coding RNA. Lineage: Eukaryota; Metazoa; Chordata; Actinopteri; Salmoniformes; Salmonidae. The record is from Ensembl.